AGGGCGGGGGUGGGGAGUGGGAGGAUUGAUUCAGAAUGGCAGUUGGGGGAUUGAUUCAGGGAUACAAGCGAUGGAACCCAGUGCAUCCCACGUAUGGGGCAUUUUGGGGAGUCGGCGUGGGGUUGGGCUGCGGCGUGGGGUGGGGCCCUGGAUUCGGCCAUGAGGUCGUGGGCUUUGUGGGCUCCGGAUGCGGCGUGGGAUUGAGCAUGGGCGUCACCUUGGUGGGCGUCGGAGUAGGAUUGCCGGCUUCUGGCCUUGCUUGUGUGCCUUGCAAUGUUGUCACCGGAGCUGGCCAAGGGGUCAGGCAAAUGACUAGAGUGAUAGCUCCAAUGGUUUCCAGUUUCGCUUCUCGAACCUGGCAGGCCAUGGACACUAAAAUCUCCAUGCUCGAUCACCAACUACGACUGAGAAGCCAGAGGACUGGAGAUGGCUCUUUUCGCGAGCAGAGUAUUGCACCAGAUGCAGAGACGAUGGAGCGGGCGAGUGGCGAUGACUCGCAUGAUUUUAAUCGCCGAUCUCGAGUGAGAUUUUCCGCCUCUAGCAGUUUACCUCAGUCUUCUAGUCAAGAUGUGCGCUCCGAGUGCCCACAUGAACAAAAUUUUGGUGAAGGCAACUAAGCUGCAGUGGUCUCUGUCGGAACUGAUGCAUUUGGGACGACUAGAGUCUGGUGGUUUCCCUGACCUGACUUUAUAAGUUGUGAAGAGCUCUGCUUAAAUUUUAUAAAGUGUGAGUUGAGUGAUUGGGGUAAAGUGUCGGUAACCUUGUAACACCAUGUAUAAUUUCAAUGAGAAAACAGAUUUCAACGUAACGGCCGUAUUCACUUUUUAAGGAA
RNA transcript from Physcomitrium patens, 832 nucleotides. It is a transcript of the gene named cadmium-induced protein AS8, with no coding region annotated. The record is from RefSeq and is a predicted model, not a curated record. Lineage: Eukaryota; Viridiplantae; Streptophyta; Bryopsida; Funariales; Funariaceae.